CGGUGAAAUUAAAUAACGGUUAUCUCCGACAUAUAUAUAAAAAAAAUGAAAUAUUCGGUGCCUAUUAAGUCAGGUAUUUUGUCAAGUAAAAUCUCUUCAGGCGACACGAAAAGGUGUCAUCGAAGUAGUCUUUUUGUUAAUCACUUCGACUUUUUGUUACUUAUUGUGACAGACCACCGGUAUAUUAUUUAAAGCUAGAUUAGCCAGAAGCUGCUCAUAACAGAGCAAAUCAAUAAUGCUAGAUACCAAGAUUAAUACCCUAACCUAGAAAAUGAGUCCGCAGCAGACGGUUCCAGCACACCCCUCAACAUCAGGAUUGACCGCAAUGAUUCUGCCAUCUGGUGCGUUAUGUCCGCGCUUAGAUACUUAGAUAAUAUGAAGAUACAAUCAAUGAAUGAGAAAGGGAGAAGAGCUCUAGUCCCCAAAUGUUUUUCUACGCUCGAGUGUAAUUGCAGUCUCUUUUCUACACACUUUGUUCGUGAGCAUUUUUUACUCGAAGUGAAUGCUUGAAUUUUCACUGUGAAGAUGCA
This is a non-coding RNA of Drosophila kikkawai, 530 nucleotides long. The record is from RefSeq and is a predicted model, not a curated record. Lineage: Eukaryota; Metazoa; Arthropoda; Insecta; Diptera; Drosophilidae.